UGGGGAAUUUUGCGCAAUGGGGGAAACCCUGACGCAGCAACGCCGCGUGGAGGAUGAAGUCCCUUGGGACGUAAACUCCUUUCGAUCGGGACGAUUAUGACGGUACCGGAAGAAGAAGCCCCGGCUAACUUCGUGCCAGCAGCCGCGGUAAUACGAGGGGGGCGAGCGUUGUUCGGAAUUAUUGGGCGUAAAGGGCGCGUAGGCGGUUGGAUAAGUCUUGUGUGAAAUCUUCGGGCUCAACUCGAAGUCUGCACGAGAAACUAUCUGGCUUGAGUGUGGGAGAGGUGAGUGGAAUUCCUGGUGUAGCGGUGAAAUGCGUAGAUAUCAGGAGGAACACCUGUGGCGAAAGCGGCUCACUGGACCACAACUGACGCUGAGGCGCGAAAGCUAGGGGAGCAAACA
Molecule: ribosomal RNA, 402 nt
Filed under: uncultured bacterium
Lineage: Bacteria
Also listed under: 1 other name
Description: bacterial SSU rRNA
Rfam family: Bacterial small subunit ribosomal RNA
Source: RNAcentral